This 266-nucleotide unclassified non-coding RNA is filed under the name Glomeraceae sp. RNAcentral's name for it is "partial contains 5.8S ribosomal RNA and internal transcribed spacer 2". The stretch from base 1 to 72 matches the Rfam family "5.8S ribosomal RNA", at positions 84 to 154 of the family's 154-position model. The record is from RNAcentral. Lineage: Eukaryota; Fungi; Glomeromycota; Glomeromycetes; Glomerales; Glomeraceae.
GUGAAUCAUCGAAUUUUUGAACGCAAAUUGCACUCUCCGGUUUUCCGGGAGAGUAUGCCUGUUUGAGGUUCGUUAGAAUAAAUAAUUUAGGCGUCGCUCUUUUUUUUGAGGGUGAUCGCUUCUGAUUUGAGCCGUGUUUUAAAUGUUAAUUCAUUUCAUAUUUGUUUAAAAUUUAUCCAUCCGGUACUAUUAAUGCUUAUUUAAGUUCAAUUAUGAUUAAAAACGCACGAGAUGGGACCAUAUCAUGUAGUACGGUGGAUCUGGGU